UGAGGAAUAUUGGGCAAUGGGCGAAAGCCUGACCCAGCAACGCCGCGCGAAGGAAGAAGGUUUUCGGAUUGUAAACUUCUGUCCUCAGGGAAGAAAAAAAUGACGGUACCUGGGGAGGAAGCCCCGGCUAACUACGUGCCAGCAGCCGCGGUAAUACGUAGGGGGCGAGCGUUGUUCGGAAUGACUGGGCGUAAAGGGCGCGUAGACGGUUUUUUAAGUCUGGAGUGAAAGUCCUGCUUUCAAGGUGGGAAUUGCUUUGGAGACUGGAAGACUUGAGUGCAGAAGAGGUAAGUGGAAUUCCCAGUGUAGCGGUGAAAUGCGUAGAGAUUGGGAAGAACACCAGUGGCGAAGGCGACUUACUGGGCCGUAACUGACAUUGAGGCGCGAAAGCGUGGGGAGCGAACA
Molecule: ribosomal RNA, 405 nt
Filed under: uncultured prokaryote
Description: bacterial SSU rRNA
Rfam family: Bacterial small subunit ribosomal RNA
Source: RNAcentral